AUUCCCAAAGUAGUGGCGAGCGAAAUGGGAAGAGCCUGCACGUUUUAGCAUGACGCAUAGAAGAAUCCCCUGGAAAUGGGAGCCAUAGACGGUGAUAGCCCGGUAUUCGAAAUGCGAUGUGUGGAACUAAGCGUGCGACAAGUAGGGCGGGACACGAGAAAUCCUGUCUGAAUAUGGGGGGACCAUCCUCCAAGGCUAAAUACUCGUAAUCGACCGAUAGUGAACCAGUACCGUGAGGGAAAGGCGAAAAGAACCCCGGAAGGGGAGUGAAAUAGAUCCUGAAACCGUGUGCAUACAAACAGUAGGAGCGGACUUGUUCCGUGACUGCGUACCUUUUGUAUAAUGGGUCAGCGACUUACAUUCAGUGGCAAGGUUAACCAUAUAGGGAAGCCGUAGAGAAAUCGAGUCCGAAUAGGGCGACAGUCGCUGGGUGUAGACCCGAAACCAAGU
Molecule: ribosomal RNA, 450 nt
Filed under: Flavobacterium cupreum
Lineage: Bacteria; Pseudomonadati; Bacteroidota; Flavobacteriia; Flavobacteriales; Flavobacteriaceae
Description: partial 23S ribosomal RNA
Rfam family: Bacterial large subunit ribosomal RNA
Source: RNAcentral